AUGCUGGAGGUAUCAGAAGUGCGAAUGCUGACAUAAGUAACGAUAAAGCGGGUGAAAAGCCCGCUCGCCGGAAGACCAAGGGUUCCUGUCCAACGUUAAUCGGGGCAGGGUGAGUCGACCCCUAAGGCGAGGCCGAAAGGCGUAGUCGAUGGGAAACAGGUUAAUAUUCCUGUACUUGGUGUUACUGCGAAGGGGGGACGGAGAAGGCUAUGUUGGCCGGGCGACGGUUGUCCCGGUUUAAGCGUGUAGGCUGGUUUUCCAGGCAAAUCCGGAAAAUCAAGGCUGAGGCGUGAUGACGAGGCACUACGGUGCUGAAGCAACAAAUGCCCUGCUUCCAGGAAAAGCCUCUAAGCAUCAGGUAACAUCAAAUCGUACCCCAAACCGACACAGGUGGUCAGGUAGAGAAUACCAAGGCGCUUGAGAGAACUCGGGUGAAGGAACUAGGCAAAAUGGUGCCGUAACUUCGGGAGAAGGCACGCUGAUAUGUAGGUGAAGCGACUUGCUCGUGGAGCUGAAAUCAGUCGAAGAUACCAGCUGGCUGCAACUGUUUAUUAAAAACACAGCACUGUGCAAACACGAAAGUGGACGUAUACGGUGUGACGCCUGCCCGGUGCCGGAAGGUUAAUUGAUGGGGUCAGCGCAAGCGAAGCUCUUGAUCGAAGCCCCGGUAAACGGCGGCCGUAACUAUAACGGUCCUAAGGUAGCGAAAUUCCUUGUCGGGUAAGUUCCGACCUGCACGAAUGGCGUAAUGAUGGCCAGGCUGUCUCCACCCGAGACUCAGUGAAAUUGAACUCGCUGUGAAGAUGCAGUGUACCCGCGGCAAGACGGAAAGACCCCGUGAACCUUUACUAUAGCUUGACACUGAACAUUGAGCCUUGAUGUGUAGGAUAGGUGGGAGGCUUUGAAGUGUGGACGCCAGUCUGCAUGGAGCCGACCUUGAAAUACCACCCUUUAAUGUUUGAUGUUCUAACGUUGACCCGUGAUCCGGGUUGCGGACAGUGUCUGGUGGGUAGUUUGACUGGGGCGGUCUCCUCCUAAAGAGUAACGGAGGAGCACGAAGGUUGGCUAAUCCUGGUCGGACAUCAGGAGGUUAGUGCAAUGGCAUAAGC
RNAcentral lists this ribosomal RNA (1109 nucleotides) under Escherichia coli. Its description in RNAcentral is "partial 23S ribosomal RNA". It matches the Rfam family "Bacterial large subunit ribosomal RNA", at positions 1270 to 2364 of the family's 2925-position model. Lineage: Bacteria; Pseudomonadati; Pseudomonadota; Gammaproteobacteria; Enterobacterales; Enterobacteriaceae. The record is from RNAcentral.